CUACACAUGCAAGUCGAGGGGUAACAGGGGGUGCUUGCACUCUGCUGACGACCGGCGCACGGGUGCGUAACGCGUAUGCAACCUACCUCAUACUGGAGCAUAGCCCUUGGAAACGGGGAUUAAUACUCCAUGGUAUCAUGAAUUCGCAUGUUUUCAUGAUUAAAGAAUUUCGGUAUGAGAUGGGCAUGCGUCCCAUUAGCUAGUUGGUGAGGUAACGGCUCACCAAGGCGACGAUGGGUAGGGGGCCUGAGAGGGUGGUCCCCCACACUGGUACUGAGACACGGACCGGACUCCUACGGGAGGCAGCAGUGAGGAAUAUUGGUCAAUGGAGGCAACUCUGAACCAGCCAUGCCGCGUGAAGGAUGACGGCCCUAUGGGUUGUAAACUUCUUUUAUAUGGGAAGAAACUUAUCUACGUGUAGAUAACUGACGGUACCAUACGAAUAAGGAUCGGCUAACUCCGUGCCAGCAGCCGCGGUAAUAUGGAGGAUCCAAGCGUUAUCCGGAUUCAUUGGGUUUAAAGGGUCCGUAGGCGGAUUUUUAAGUCAGUGGUGAAAGCCGACAGCUCAACUGUCGAACUGCCAUUGAUACUGGAAAUCUUGAGUACAAAUGAAGUAGGCGGAAUGAGUCAUGUAGCGGUGAAAUGCAUAGAUAUGACUCAGAACACCAAUUGCGAAGGCAGCUUACUAACAUGUAACUGACGCUGAGGGACGAAAGCGUGGGGAGCGAACAGGAUUAGAUACCCUGGUAGUCCACGCCGUAAACGAUCAUCACUCGCUGUUGGCGAUAUACAGUCAGCGGCCAAGCGAAAGUAUUAAGUGAUGCACCUGGGGAGUACGCCGGCAACGGUGAAACUCAAAGGAAUUGACGGGGGCCCG
RNAcentral lists this ribosomal RNA (877 nucleotides) under uncultured bacterium. Its description in RNAcentral is "bacterial SSU rRNA". It matches the Rfam family "Bacterial small subunit ribosomal RNA", at positions 49 to 923 of the family's 1533-position model. The record is from RNAcentral.